UAAAUGGAAGGGAAGAGAAAGUAGCCCAGACCGUGGCUGUCCAAUGCCCUGUGUGAACUCUUGAAUACAAACUGGACUUGCUUCUCCCUACUUGGGUGGCUACACUGACAGAGAGACAUUAUGGCGGACAUUAGUCUGCCGACCCAUUAAGCCCUUGUGUUCUUAUCCUCCAGAGCUGUGGAGUGUGACAAUGGUGUUUGUGUCCACUGUUAUCAAACGCCAUUAUCACACUAAAUAGCUAUGGUGAGAAGCUUCCCCUCACCCAGGGACCCCAUGUCGUGGGAAGAUGGUACACCAAAUGGAGCCAUGCAGUUCACCCUAAUUGCUCUUAUCCGGACGGUUACAACACAUGGCUCCUUCUCUAGCCCCUGUCUAUAUGUUCUAAAACACUGAUUGCAGGUUACCACCAGACAGGAAUAUACAGAGAUAUGUAAAGGGUUUUGCAGAGGAAACCAUUUAAUUUUGCGAACAUGUUAUCUCUGUUUUUUUCUUUUGCAGGAAAGUGAUCACAUAAUAACAGAACAUUAAUGGCACAUUUACCACAGGGCAUGUGAGGUGAAUGUGUGUGACAGGUGUGUACCGAUAGGCACCUGUGGAUUUUAAUAAAAAUGUGUUCCUCCGUUCCCCAGUGCCAAGUGAACUGCACAGUGUCGCACAUGCUGACCUGCAAUCAUGCAAGUCACCAGUGAACAGAGCCGUGGGUGGCGGGCUCACAUUUCACGACCUGACAGCGUAAAGGUCAAAGGUCACUCUUGGUUUAUGUGCCACAUAUCAAUAAAGCACCAUGAAACAAUAAAAAUA
This is a long non-coding RNA of Anguilla anguilla (European eel), 801 nucleotides long. RefSeq lists it as uncharacterized. The transcript has 2 exons. The record is from RefSeq and is a predicted model, not a curated record. NCBI's taxonomy places the organism in Eukaryota, Metazoa, Chordata, Actinopteri, Anguilliformes, Anguillidae.